CACAGCUACGACUCACUUCCCCAUUAAUUGGCUGAAACCAGUUCUUACAGGAACUGUCGGUGAUAAAUGUGAGAGUUCUCAGAAAUCAUUCAUUUCUUCCUUCUUCACAGCUAAGGGACACUCCAGGGCAGUGUGGAUGUUUCUUUGUGUUAUCAUUUCUUAAGGACCUCAAUUUUUAGAUCAUUUAUAUGUAUUUUUGUGAUUCUCUCUUGUUAUUAUUUUUCUUCAUUGUUUUUUUUUUGUUUGUUUGUUUUUUUUUAAAUCUGGUAACAGUGUUCUGUCUGUGGUAAAGGUUUUAUAUUGCUUAGCCCUCCUUCUGGGAGAAGUAGAGAUAGAAGAAGGUAACCUUUAGCGUGGAUGAGUAAAAUUGGUGACCUACUUCCCCCCUUUCUUGUCUUCUUAAGCUCUGUUACGCAGUUUGUUGCCUCUCUCCUGAAGACGAACCUUGAGGUGUUGGAGCAACACCGGCAGUGAGUAUCACAACUUUUUUUCUCUAUCUGUUCUACCGUUCUUCUUCUAUCACUGUUUGCUAAUGCAUUGUACAUGCAUAAUUUAUUAGCUAAUUGUAGUGUUGCGGUGGGUUGGUGCUGUCAUUCAUGGUGGAAGAGUGUGGUGUGGCAGAGUUCAUUGUGUGUCUAGGGUUAAAAUGGAGUGGUGACUGUGGCCUGUUCAGGGUCUGGCUCCUGAGGGAUGCUGAGUCAUGCUCAGCAGGUGGAGCUGCUAUGACUGAAGUGUACACUCCCCCACGUCACUCACAACCCCCACCCUCCAUCCCCCUUCCCCUUAGCAAGCGAACCCUGUUGAACUCGAUGCAGGCUGAUCGAGACAGGAGGGGCCCCCAGGGGCUGAGAGGGUGGGGGAAUUCUACUCCCAAUUCCUGCCACUAACAAUCUCUCACAACUCUGUAGAAGCUGUGGAAACAAAGACAUUACACCUUUUAGCUCACUGCUCUUCUAGGAUGAAAACUCGCUCUCCUGGGUGUUUCAGAAGGUGGUGACCAUCUUGUGUGUGUGUGUGUGAGUGUGAAUGAGUGGCAGAGAAAUAUUCAGGGGGUAAAAUUAAAAACUUUGUGUGGGUGUAGUUGUGUGUCAAAAGAGUGAGAAUGAAAUUUUCACCAGGUUGUUUCACUCACAUACUACCUGAGCCUGUCUGUAUUUCUCAAAUUAAAAAAAAAAAGAAGAAGAAGAAUUUUUGAGUCUCUUUGUUCUCCUUUGUACCUGUGAAAAGUAAUUGGCUUCUUACAGAGUUUAAUAUAGUAAAUGGGGCUGGAGAGAUGUAAGGUUGCAGCAUUGUGUUUUGGCAGAACAGCUUUAUUUAAAAGUGCAGGAACUUAUUGACCAUUGAGGCCUUCAGAUUAUGACAUCUAGAUAUAUUUUAUUCUCAAUAAAUCAUACAUAUAUCUCAAUAAAUAAGUCAUCAUUUACAUUUGGGUUAUGAAAUAGUGUUGGUGCUAAACACUGAAACUGUAAUAAAUAUCAGUGAAUCAUACUGUAGUUUCCAGUAGUUACUGUUUAAUUUCCAUAGACUGAGAAACAACUUGUUAGUCAGACCAGGGCUUCACAAUCCUGGUAAUAUGUGCAAUCAUAUGAACAUGAAUUUUUCAGAGAUUGUGGAUGAGUGGAUGGAGGUUCACUAUUCUUGAGCAGUUCACCUUUUUGUGUAUGUUUUAUCUGACUGAGAUCACAACUGUGCUUAUAUUGACAGCAGAAUACUGACUGUUGUUGGGCUGUCACUGUUUAUAUUAAUGAGACUGGCUGAUAGUAUGUCUGACAUUGUGACUACUGUUUUGUGAUAUUGAGGGUUUCAAAUUUAGGUGUAUGUUGUAUAUCUUAUAGAGAUCUUCUCUAAAAUACUCCCUGAUCAGAACCGUGCUUAUAUUGGAAGCAGAAUACUGAUUAUUGAUGGGCUCUCACUGCUUAUGUUAAUGAGACUGGCUAAUAAUAUGUCUGAUAUUGUGACUACUUUUUUUAUGUUUUUCUUUAGGUAAUGCAAUUCAUUCAGAAGUUUCUAAACAAUGUUAAAGAUUUUUGUGUUCUUUUAUGCCUGGUCUUGGCACUCAUAAUAAGGUAUAAUGGGUGCCAAGACCCAAUAUUAAUUAAUGCAAUAUGAUGUAAUUUAUUUUUUGUUCCUUGAUUAUACAAAAGCUUCUUUGCCUCUUUUUUCAUUUUGUAAUUUUUUUUUAGAACUGCUUGUGAAAUGUUUUCUCCCUCAUCUGUGCUUUUUUGUAACACUGCCCUGGUAUGCUAGCCUGGAAGCUUCAGGCAUAUAAAAAAAAAUGGAACAGUGUGGGGUUUCUUUGCUGUUACCUUAGCUGAACCCUGGGCUGAACUCAAUGCACUGUACUGCUGGCAGGAAGGAUAUGAAGAAGAGAGAGAAAGGGGGAUACAAGCAAGAGGCUAAGCAUGUUCAGCUAGCGGACAUGCUCGUCAGUGAAUGGGAAGCACAUUUUGAACCGCUAUAACAGGACAUAUUUGGUUACAAAAUAACAGAAUAUGGCCUCCAACAACCACCUCCUACCAUUCCUCUUUGUCUAUGUGACUACACUGGCAUAGAUGUCCCUCUGAGGGAACCCUUAUAGUAUGUCCCUCUGAGGGAACCCUUUACACCCUUUUAGGAGUCUAAGAUCCCUUAAAGAAUGCCUGAAGAACCUAAGAGUGCACCUUUUUUCCUUUUUAAUCUCAGAUUUGUGAUCAAGAGACCUUUUUUGAAUUGCUUCCUAGUUCUGAACAUUCUAUUUUUUAUUUCUUGGUAAAUUUUGUUUUUCGUAUGACUAUUUGUAUGAUUAUAUAAGUGUAUAUUAACAAAAAUAAACAAGGUUGCAUUAAUGCUUAGUCUGGCUCUUUGUUUCUUGCUGUGGCAUGAUUGAUCACCCUAUACCAAAUGUCUGAGAUAUCUAUAUAUCAUUAUAUCUGUGUGUCAUCUCUCUCAAAAGACCCAUUUAC
Long non-coding RNA from Ictalurus punctatus (channel catfish), 2942 nucleotides. The record is from Ensembl. Lineage: Eukaryota; Metazoa; Chordata; Actinopteri; Siluriformes; Ictaluridae.